This 805-nucleotide ribosomal RNA is filed under the name uncultured Methyloversatilis sp. RNAcentral's name for it is "bacterial SSU rRNA". It matches the Rfam family "Bacterial small subunit ribosomal RNA", at positions 1 to 761 of the family's 1533-position model. The record is from RNAcentral. Lineage: Bacteria; Pseudomonadati; Pseudomonadota; Betaproteobacteria; Nitrosomonadales; Sterolibacteriaceae.
CGAUGGGCCGACGUCGCAUGCUCCGGCCGCCAUGGCGGCCGCGGGAAUCGAUUGUUUGAUCCUGGCUCAGAUUGAACGCUGGCGGAAUGCUUUACACAUGCAAGUCGAGCGGCAGCGCGGGGCAACCUGGCGGCGAGCGGCGAACGGGUGAGUAACACAUCGGAACAUACCCAGUCGUGGGGGAUAACACUUCGAAAGAAGUGCUAAUACCGCAUACGUCCUGAGGGAGAAGCGGGGGAUCUUCGGACCUCGCGCGAUUGGAGUGGCCGAUGUCAGAUUAGCUAGUUGGUGGGGUAAAGGCCUACCAAGGCGACGAUCUGUAGCUGGUCUGAGAGGACGACCAGCCACACUGGGACUGAGACACGGCCCAGACUCCUACGGGAGGCAGCAGUGGGGAAUUUUGGACAAUGGGGGCAACCCUGAUCCAGCCAUUCCGCGUGAGUGAAGAAGGCCUUCGGGUUGUAAAGCUCUUUCGGCAGGAACGAAACGGCGCGCUCUAACAUAGCGCGUUAAUGACGGUACCUGAAGAAGAAGCACCGGCUAACUACGUGCCAGCAGCCGCGGUAAUACGUAGGGUGCGAGCGUUAAUCGGAAUUACUGGGCGUAAAGCGUGCGCAGGCGGUUGUGUAAGACAGGUGUGAAAUCCCCGGGCUUAACCUGGGAACUGCGCUUGUGACUGCACGGCUAGAGUAUGGCAGAGGGGGGUGGAAUUCCACGUGUAGCAGUGAAAUGCGUAGAGAUGUGGAGGAACACCGAUGGCGAAUGCACCCCCUUGGGCCAAUACUGACGCUCAUGCACGAAAGCU